CAGCCCACGGCAUUGCCAUGGCACUUCACUGGUGUUGUCUCAACACAGCCCGGGGUUACCUCACUGCAGGCAGGGCUCCAAGGGCAGGCCUUGCUGAGGCCAGGGCCACCCAAGGACACCCCAGGCCCAGAGGCUGCGGAGGGACAGCAAAGCCGCCUCCACUGUCCUAGUUCAGCCAUGAACAUUUUCAUUUCCUCAAGGAUGUGAUACACCGUAGAACCAUGAAUUGUUUGUUUUUCCUUCCCUUGUGAGUUACAUUGUACCCUGUGUUCCAGAUGCCUUACGUGUUUUCUAUCAUUAAAUCCUCCCAACCAACCUUUUGAGCCAAGGCCCCCAUCUCAGUUUCACAGUUGAGCAGCCUGAGGUUCGGAGACAACAAAGCGGAGCCUUGUCAGCCCUCCCGAGGAGAGUCGGACAUCUCUAGGCUGCCGAGCCAAAGGCUGUCCAGUGCAUCUGCUGCUUCUCCAUCUUCCUUGCUGACAGCCCCUUUGGAGAAGAAAUCCCGAUGCAAAAGGCCUGCGGGUGACCAGGACACAAUGACCCUGAGCUGCUCCUGGUCACCAUGCAUCCCUGCUCACGGGAGAAGCCUAUUGGUUCUAAGGUUGUCCUGGUAAGGAAUGCAGAACGAACAAGCUACUGCUAACUGAAGAAUCUGGGAAAAGUCAAAAGGAGAGAGAGGACGCCAAUUCAUAUAUACUGCUAACCUCCCAGAAUCCGCCUCGCUGGAAUCCAUCUUGGCUGAGAGAUGUGUGCGCCACCAGGAAGGAUGCUGCGUCAGGACGACUGGCCAGAGGCAACCCAGAAACGAACUUCAUCACCGUGAAGCCCGAGCCUGCGAGUUGCACACAGAGCAGUUCUCGCGGGCCCAUGUACCCUGCUGCUCUCCACCUGGGUGCCCCCUCCCAAUAAAGUCUCUUGCUUUGCCAGCA
Long non-coding RNA from Cervus elaphus (red deer), 929 nucleotides. RefSeq lists it as uncharacterized. The transcript is spliced from 3 exons. NCBI's taxonomy places the organism in Eukaryota, Metazoa, Chordata, Mammalia, Artiodactyla, Cervidae. The record is from RefSeq and is a predicted model, not a curated record.